UGGAAACGUAUGCUAAUACCGAAUAUGCUCUACGGAGUAAAGGUGCCCUCUCCUUGGAAGGUAUCGCUAUAGGAUGAGCCCGCGUGAGAUUAGUUAGUUGGUAAGGUAAUGGCUUACCAAGGCGACGAUCUCUAGCUGGUUUGAGAGGAUGAUCAGCCACACUGGGACUGAGACACGGCCCAGACUCCUACGGGAGGCAGCAGUGGGGAAUAUUGCACAAUGAGCGAAAGCUUGAUGCAGCCAUACCGCGUGUGUGAAGAAGGCCCGAGGGUUGUAAAGCACUUUCAAUUGUGAGGAAGAUAGUGUCGUUAAUAUCGGCAUUGUUUGACGUUAACUUUAGAAGAAGCACCGGCUAACUCUGUGCCAGCAGCCGCGGUAAUACAGAGGGUGCAAGCGUUAUUCGGAAUUACUGGGCGUAAAGCGCGCGUAGGCGGAUUAUUAAGUCAGUUGUGAAAGCCCUGGGCUCAACCUGGGAACUGCAUCUGAUACUGGUAGUCUAGAGUUUAAGAGAGGGAAGUGGAAUUCCAGGUGUAGCAGUGAAAUGCGUAGAUAUCUGGAGGAACAUCAGUGGCGAAGGCGACUUCCUGGCUUAAAACUGACGCUGAGGUGCGAAAGCGUGGGUAGCGAACGGGAUUAGAU
RNAcentral lists this ribosomal RNA (639 nucleotides) under Thiomicrospira sp. Tms-MPN/Milos-DII6. RNAcentral's name for it is "bacterial SSU rRNA". It matches the Rfam family "Bacterial small subunit ribosomal RNA", at positions 151 to 783 of the family's 1533-position model. Lineage: Bacteria; Pseudomonadati; Pseudomonadota; Gammaproteobacteria; Thiotrichales; Piscirickettsiaceae. The record is from RNAcentral.